Long non-coding RNA from Xenia sp. Carnegie-2017, 391 nucleotides. RefSeq lists it as uncharacterized. The transcript is spliced from 3 exons. The record is from RefSeq and is a predicted model, not a curated record. NCBI's taxonomy places the organism in Eukaryota, Metazoa, Cnidaria, Anthozoa, Malacalcyonacea, Xeniidae.
AUCAUAUCCAGAAAUCAGGUUGAUCUCGAAUGUUGAUCAAGAAUGAAUUCUGAAGGUGAAAUUGAGGAGGAAAACCAAAAUGACUUAACGAAGCUUCUCACGGAGGAAUCUUACGAACCAUCGAAAAAACUUCAUGACAAAAUGGGUAGAUUUUUAGGUCCACAAUCGGAUGGCGAGGCACACCACGAUGAAGAAAUUGAACUUUGUGAAAUAAGUGACGGAGAAGCGACAACGCAAACUAGGAUAUCAAGACCAGUCACUGGGAUACGGAUAUUUCGAGCAAUCCCUAAACGUUUCAUAAUUUUAGUUAUGAUUGCACUGGCUAAUUUCAACAUGUAUUGCAUAAGGAUGUGUGUGAACGUGACCAUUGUAGCAAUGACGCACGGAGAAG